CCAACAAGUAGGCUCCACACAGAGACAAUGGAAAGACCAAAAAAGAAAUUCUGCAAUAAUGGAGCCAAAAGCCAGACCUUGCCAGCCAUACCACCAUUUCCAUUUCCACCAUCAACACCAGAGACAGUCCCAGAUCUAAGACAAGAUGAAAGAGAACUCCGACUCUUUCAGAUGCUAGAGGAGAUAAAA
Alosa alosa (allis shad) is the source of this 189-nucleotide long non-coding RNA. RefSeq lists it as uncharacterized. The record is from RefSeq and is a predicted model, not a curated record. The transcript is spliced from 3 exons. NCBI's taxonomy places the organism in Eukaryota, Metazoa, Chordata, Actinopteri, Clupeiformes, Clupeidae.